GCAGUGAACUUGAUUAUUUUCACAAUCGGGAUUGGACGUGUCAACUCCACCAUGAGUAAAGAAGUUCGUCUAAUUCAUGUAAUAAGAUGACCAACAGAAUUUUACAGAUUUUCGUUUUGUCAAUCACAAAGUUGUACAUCAUAUAUUGAUGUCCCUGAAGAAAUACUCUCAUUCUGCUACCAGGUAUGCACAUUUUCCUUCAGGAGAAAUACAAAUCUUUUCCAGAUUUCAAUCAUGACAUGUUCACACCAAUUGAAUUUUCUUACAUCUGACGUAAAGAGGUAGGCGCAGUGAACUUGAUGCUUUUCACAAUCGGGAUUGGACGUGUCAACUCUACCAUGAGUAAAGAGGUUCGUCUAAUAUAUUGAUGUCCCUGAAGAAAUACUCUCAUUCUGCUACCAGGUAUGCACAUUUUCCUUCAGAAGAAAUGCAAAUUCUUUCCAGAUUUCAAUCAUGACUUGUUCACACCAAUUGAAUUUUCUCACAUCUCACGUAAAGAGGUAGGCGCAGUGAACUUGAUGCCUCUCACAAUCGGGAUUGGACGUGUCAAUUCUACCAUGAGUAAACAGGUCCGUCUAAUUCAUGUAAUAAGAUGACCAAGAGAAUUUUACAGAUUUUCGUUUUGAUAAUCACAAAAUUGUCCCUCAUAUAUUGAUGCCUCAGAAGAAAUACUCUCGUCUGCUGCCAGGUAUGCACAUUUUCCUUCAGGAGAAAUGCAAAUUUUUUCCAGAUUUCGAUCAUGAAUUGUUCACACCAAUUGAAUUUUCUCACAUUUG
Molecule: long non-coding RNA, 776 nt
Organism: Leptinotarsa decemlineata (Colorado potato beetle)
Lineage: Eukaryota; Metazoa; Arthropoda; Insecta; Coleoptera; Chrysomelidae
Source: RefSeq, a predicted model, not a curated record